ACGGGAGGCAGCAGUGGGGAAUAUUGCACAAUGGGGGAAACCCUGAUGCAGCGACGCCGCGUGAGUGAAGAAGUAUUUCGGUAUGUAAAGCACUAUCAGCAGGAAAGAAAAUGACGGUACCUGACUAAGAAGCCCCGGCUAACUACGUGCCAGCAGCCGCGGUAAUACGUAGGGGGCAAGCGUUAUCCAGAUUUACUGGGUGUAAAGGGAGCGUAGACGGCUUUGCAAGUCUGAAGUGAAAGCCCGGGGCCCAACCCCGGAACUGCUUUGGAAACUGUUAAGCUGGAGUGCAGGAGAGGUAAGUGGAAUUCCUAGUGUAGCGGUGAAAUGCGUAGAUAUUAGGAGGAACACCAGUGGCGAAGGCGGCUUACUGGACUGUAACUGACGUUGAGGCUCGAAGGCGUGGGGAGCAAACAGGAUUAGAUACCCUGGUA
This 434-nucleotide ribosomal RNA is filed under the name uncultured Lachnospiraceae bacterium. Its description in RNAcentral is "partial 16S ribosomal RNA". It matches the Rfam family "Bacterial small subunit ribosomal RNA", at positions 341 to 792 of the family's 1533-position model. The record is from RNAcentral. Lineage: Bacteria; Bacillati; Bacillota; Clostridia; Lachnospirales; Lachnospiraceae.